This 568-nucleotide long non-coding RNA is filed under the name Triticum aestivum (bread wheat). RNAcentral's name for it is "long non-coding RNA (TAES_LNC014216)". Lineage: Eukaryota; Viridiplantae; Streptophyta; Magnoliopsida; Poales; Poaceae. The record is from RNAcentral.
CCCUCCCUUUCUUACACUAGAAGAAGAUUCUUUCUGAAGGUCUAAUUCGCUGCAGCGCUGGCUGUGGACUGUGGUGCUUCGGGAAUUUGUUUCCCUUUGCUGGUCAGGGGGACGUAUGGUAGCUAGGAGGGAAAUACACUGAGUUGGUUAGCGGCCGGCCGUUCCAUGAUUGCCGAUGUGAAGCAUCCAUUGCUUCCAAGUUUUGUAUGGCUUCAUGGAAAGCUACUUGAGCGUCUUUGGAAGUCGUUUUUUGGAUUUGCCCUCUGUCUAACUAAAUAAUGAGCUUGGUUGGAAGUGAACGUCAUUUUUGUUUCUUUUUAAUAUGUACAAUUGUUGCCGGUAAGAAAAGAAAAUUGUUUUUGCCGCCCUCUCUAGGUUUCUUAUCCAGUAACGAUGACAUAAUAUUUCCCUCUGUGUUAACAGAGGAGGCAACCCGGGUGGGGCAUUAGGGAUCAGAUCCGAAGAACUACCUUGAUCAGCAUCUAAAUAAGGCUGGAGCUGGGAUUAUGUGUUGACCACUUUAUUGCUGUGAAACAUCACAUCAGACUUUCUUUGGCAAAACCGCGAG